RNAcentral lists this ribosomal RNA (612 nucleotides) under uncultured bacterium. Its description in RNAcentral is "bacterial SSU rRNA". It matches the Rfam family "Bacterial small subunit ribosomal RNA", at positions 65 to 652 of the family's 1533-position model. The record is from RNAcentral.
AACGAUCCUAUUGGGUAGCAAUAUUCGGUAGUGGGAGUGGCGCAGGGUGCGUAACACGUGGGUAAUUUGCCGUAAAGUCUGGGAUAACUUGCUGAAAGGCGAGCUAAUACCGGAUGUGAUUGCUGGAGGGCAUCCUCUGGCACUUAAAGUCGGGGACCGUAAGGCCUGACACUUUUCGAUAAGCCCGCGGCCUAUCAGCUAGUUGGUGAGGUAACGGCUCACCAAGGCUAAGACGGGUAGCUGGUCUGAGAGGACGACCAGCCUCACUGGAACUGAGACACGGUCCAGACACCUACGGGUGGCAGCAGUCGAGAAUUUUUCUCAAUGGGGGAAACCCUGAAGGAGCGACGCCGCGUGGGGGAUGAAUGGCUUCGGCCCGUAAACCCCUGUCAUUUGCGAUCAAACCUUACGACCUAACACGUCGUAAGCUGAUAGUAGCGGAAGAGGAAGGGACGGCUAACUCAGUGCCAGCAGCCGCGGUAAUACAGAGGUCCCAAGCGUUGUUCGGAUUCACUGGGCGUAAAGGGUGCGUAGGCGGUCGGGUAAGUCUGACGUGAAAUCUUCAAGCUCAACUUGGAAACUGCGUCGGAUACUAUUCGGCUAGAGGAAUGG